UAAAGAUCCGUCGGAUGAGGAUAGGCUCGCGUGACAUUAGCUUGACGGCGGGGUAACGGCCCACCGUGGCGACGAUGUCUAGGGGCUCUGAGAGGAAGGUCCCCCACACUGGAACUGAGACACGGUCCAGACUCCUACGGGAGGCAGCAGUGAGGAAUAUUGGUCAAUGGCCGGAAGGCUGAACCAGCCAUGCCGCGUGAAGGUCAGUGCCCUAUGGGCGUUAAACUUCUUUUGUGCGGGAGCAAUAAGGUCCACGUGUGGACCGACGAGAGUACCGUACGAAUAAGCAUCGGCUAACUCCGUGCCAGCAGCCGCGGUAAUACGGGGGAUGCAAGCGUUAUCCGGAUUUAUUGGGUUUAAAGGGUGCGUAGGCUGUGAGGUAAGUCAGCGGUGAAAUGCCCCCGCUCAACGGGGUGAAGUGCCAUUGAUACUGCCUUGCUGGAAUGCGGAUGCCGUGGGAGGAAUGUGUGGUGUAGCGGUGAAAUGCAUAGAUAUCACACAGAACACCGAUUGCGAAGGCAUCUCACGAAUCCGCUAUUGACGCUGAUGCACGAAAGCGUGGGUAUCAAACAGGAUUAGAUACCCUGGUAGUCCACGCUGUAAACGAUGAUGACUAACCGUCGGCGAUACACAGUCG
RNAcentral lists this ribosomal RNA (637 nucleotides) under uncultured bacterium. RNAcentral describes it as "bacterial SSU rRNA". It matches the Rfam family "Bacterial small subunit ribosomal RNA", at positions 202 to 839 of the family's 1533-position model. The record is from RNAcentral.